This 456-nucleotide ribosomal RNA is filed under the name uncultured Desulfobulbus sp. RNAcentral describes it as "bacterial SSU rRNA". It matches the Rfam family "Bacterial small subunit ribosomal RNA", at positions 927 to 1382 of the family's 1533-position model. Lineage: Bacteria; Pseudomonadati; Thermodesulfobacteriota; Desulfobulbia; Desulfobulbales; Desulfobulbaceae. The record is from RNAcentral.
AAGCGGUGGAGCAUGCGGUUUAAUUCGAAGCAACGCGAAGAACCUUACCAGGUCUUGACAUCCCUGACAAUCCGAGAGAUCGGGCGUUCCCCUUCGGGGGACAGGGUGACAGGUGCUGCAUGGCUGUCGUCAGCUCGUGUCGUGAGAUGUUGGGUUAAGUCCCGCAACGAGCGCAACCCUUGCCUUUAGUUGCCAGCAGUUCGGCUGGGCACUCUAAAGGGACUGCCGGUGUUAAACCGGAGGAAGGUGGGGAUGACGUCAAGUCCUCAUGGCCUUUAUGACCAGGGCUACACACGUACUACAAUGGCCGAUACAAAGGGCAGCGACAUCGCGAGGUGAAGCCAAUCCCAUAAAAUCGGUCUCAGUUCGGAUUGUAGGCUGCAACUCGCCUACAUGAAGUCGGAAUCGCUAGUAAUCGCGGAUCAGCACGCCGCGGUGAAUACGUUCCCGGGCCUU